AAUUGGGCGAAAGGCGGGGGCCAGUAACUCCCCGAGGCUCCCCGCGGUCCCGUGGGGGGCGUCGUCCGCGCAAUGGCCCUCGCCCCGCGGGGCCCGCGGUGGCGGAGCCUCCGCCGAAGGGCGGAGGUCAACCGCCUUAACCGGGGGAACCAGGUCAGGCCCGGAAGGGAGCAGCCUAACCCCGGCCGCGGCGCGUUCGCGGGAGAACGGGGGGAGCGCGGGCGGCGCUGACCCCCGCGGGGGCGCCGCGGGG
Molecule: signal recognition particle RNA, 253 nt
Filed under: Ignicoccus hospitalis KIN4/I
Lineage: Archaea; Thermoproteati; Thermoproteota; Thermoprotei; Desulfurococcales; Desulfurococcaceae
Description: SRP RNA; RNA component of signal recognition particle
Rfam family: Archaeal signal recognition particle RNA (bases 48-242)
Source: RNAcentral